CAGAGCUAUAGCUUGGGGGUAGAGCAUCUGCCUUGAAUGCAGAAAGACCCAAGUUCAAUACCUGGUUCCUUGG
Non-coding RNA from Podarcis lilfordi (Lilford's wall lizard), 73 nucleotides. NCBI's taxonomy places the organism in Eukaryota, Metazoa, Chordata, Lepidosauria, Squamata, Lacertidae. The record is from the annotation of a GenBank genome assembly.